UACAGAGGGUGCGAGCGUUGUCCGGAAUUAUUGGGCGUAAAGAGCUUGUAGGCGGUCUGUCGCGUCUGCUGUGAAAAUCCGGGGCUCAACCCCGGACUUGCAGUGGGUACGGGCAGACUAGAGUGUAGUAGGGGAGACUGGAAUUCCUGGUGUAGCGGUGAAAUGCGCAGAUAUCAGGAGGAACACCGAUGGCGAAGGCAGGUCUCUGGGCCAUAACUGACGCUGAGAAGCGAAAGCAUGGGGAGCGAACAGG
Molecule: ribosomal RNA, 253 nt
Filed under: uncultured bacterium
Lineage: Bacteria
Description: partial 16S ribosomal RNA
Rfam family: Bacterial small subunit ribosomal RNA
Source: RNAcentral